UUAUGGUUUAUAAAUUUUAUUUUAAGUUUAUUUUACAUGUAAAUUUUAGUGUUGUAUAUUAAUUAUUUAAAUAAUAUUUAAUUUUUAUUGCAGUAAUUAAUUUUAAAAAUUUAAGAAAUUAAGAUUUAGUAAUAUUUAAAUUAAUAACUAAUUUUGUGCCAGCAGUUGCGGUUAUACAAAAAUUAAUUUAAAAUUUUUUAGUUAUAAUAAUUAAUUAAAUUGUUAAUUUAAAUGAAAAAUUAUUAGGUGAAAUUUUAAUUUUAAAAAAAUUAUUUUAUAAUUAUGAAUUAAUAGAUUUUAUAAAAAACUAGGAUUAGAUACCCUAUUAUUAAAAAAUAAAAUAAAAAUACUAAAAUAGUAGGUAAUUAUUGAAACUUAAAUAAUUUGGCGGUAUUUUAGUUUAUUUAGAGGAAUCUGUUUAAUAAUUGAUAAUCCACGAAUAAAUUUACUUAAUUUAAAAUUUUGUAUAUCGUUGUUAAAAAAAUAUUUUUUAAUAAUAAUAAUAUUUAAAAAUUUAAAUAUGAAAUUAGAUCAGAUCAAGAUGCAGAUUAUAAUUAAGAAUAUAAUGGAUUACAAUAAAUUUAUUUAAAUUGGAUUUUAAUAUGAAAAGAUUAAAUGAAAUUGGAUUUAAAUGUAAUUUUAUAAAAUUUUAAAAAAUGAUUAAUAAUUAAAAUAUGUACAUAUUGCCCGUCGCUUUCAUUUAUAAAUUGAAAUAAGUCGUAACAAAGUAGAGGUACUGGAAAGUGUUUCUAGAAAGAU
RNAcentral lists this non-coding RNA (759 nucleotides) under Theretra clotho. Lineage: Eukaryota; Metazoa; Arthropoda; Insecta; Lepidoptera; Sphingidae. The record is from RNAcentral.